RNAcentral lists this ribosomal RNA (492 nucleotides) under uncultured bacterium. RNAcentral describes it as "partial 16S ribosomal RNA". It matches the Rfam family "Bacterial small subunit ribosomal RNA", at positions 29 to 507 of the family's 1533-position model. The record is from RNAcentral.
AGUGAACGCUGGCGGUAGGCCUAACACAUGCAAGUCGAACGGCAGCACAGUAAGAGCUUGCUCUUACGGGUGGCGAGUGGCGGACGGGUGAGGAAUACAUCGGAAUCUACUUUUUCGUGGGGGAUAACGUAGGGAAACUUACGCUAAUACCGCAUACGACCUACGGGUGAAAGCAGGGGUUCUUCGGACCUUGCGCGAUCGAAUGAGCCGAUGUCGGAUUAGCUAGUUGGCGGGGUAAAGGCCCACCAAGGCGACGAUCCGUAGCUGGUCUGAGAGGAUGAUCAGCCACACUGGAACUGAGACACGGUCCAGACUCCUACGGGAGGCAGCAGUGGGGAAUAUUGGACAAUGGGCGCAAGCCUGAUCCAGCCAUACCGCGUGGGUGAAGAAGGCCUUCGGGUUGUAAAGCCCUUUUGUUGGGAAAGAAAAGCAGCAGGUUAAUACCCCGCUGUUCUGACGGUACCCAAAGAAUAAGCACCGGCUAGCUUCGUG